UGGAAAGUCUGACUCAUCGCUUUCACUUACCAGUGAGGAAACCAAGGCCUGGAGGCUGAGGAGCUUUCCCAAGACCACACAGCUGCCGAGAGUCUCAGGCAGCAUUCAGCUCUCCAUGGGUCUCUGUUCCAGGAACGGCCACACACUCGAACAGCGAGUCCAGGCGCUCUUGAGGAAGCCUGGACGCGAAGGAGAGGAUUCCUGCAGUCCCCGAGCCCACUGUGUGUGUGAACACUGCGUUGGUCUCCAGGACAAAGAACUAUGGCUCUUUUCCUCAAGAAGCAGAUGAGUGAUUCUCAACGUGGCUACCAUAACUCCUCUGAUGCCUCCACACCGGGAUCCGCUGGACGAAUCCACGGGAGAGUAACAAUGAUUGGAGACAGAGGCCCCUGGGCUUUUCAAAAUGGACUCUACAAAAACCAGGCAGUGCAAAUCCAUACUGUGUUGAAAAAGCACUGCGACCUGAAGUCAGAAAACUGGGACUCGAGCUUCCAUCAUCAAGAACAGAAUUCCUUUGGGCAAGUCAUUAGUCCUCUUUGGACCUCUGCUGAAUUAUGUCUGAAGGAGAGCUUCUAGUGAGGCCGAAAUGAAAUGUUGUGGGUGGAAGCACUUUUUUUUAAUGUUUUAUUGUUUUGCUAUUUUUUUAUGGGAGUGUAGCUGCUUUAUACCGCUGGGUCAGUUUCUGUCACAGCAAAGUGAAUCAGCUGCACCCACACAUCAGUUCAGUUCAGUCGCUCAGCCGUGUCCGACUCUUUGCGACCCCAUGAAUCGCAGCGCGCCCGUUUUUUUAAUGGGAUUUCCUUCCCGUUUAGGCGACCCCGGAGCAGUGAGUAGUCUCCUGCCCUGUGCUGUAGGUUCUCAUUAGCUACCUGUUGCACACAUAGUAGUGUAUAUAUGUCAAUCCCCAUCUCCCGAUUCGCCCCACUACCCACUCCCACUUUGACUGAAAAUACUAGGCAACACAGGAUUCGAGGGUUGUUAUAAGAAACUCGAAAUGAGCCUCUUCAGCUGGAAGGCAGGUUUGGAGCUGGUUGCAGGAGACAAGGCCAGAAAGGAGGAAAGACACCGGAUGUAGGGGAGAAUGGGGGCCGGGGAAGCCUGCCCGGUGGCAGAGGGUGUGGGGAGACAUGUCUGGACUCAUCCUCCUGAAAGCCCUGCUGGAGCAAGCGUGGCAUAUUUCACACCAAAGGUGGACCUGCAUUUUAUGUGGCAUUAAAUCCUACAGUCAGGGCCUGAUGGGAAAGAGCACAAAUAGUCAAAAUCAUUCUGUCUUAUAAAUCACCUGCAGAGUGUAUAGCAUGUAUGAUUUUGUAAUAAAUCCAAAUGCAGCCAUUUUUAAUCAUAUUGUAGUUUGAAGCUACUAUGCAAAUGUGUGAGUACACAAACCUUUCUCCCUUUUGAUAACUAUCAAAACCUCAUGGCAAAAAGGGGAUGAGUGGGAGAAUUCCUGCUUUUCUGCAGAGUUCAUUCUGUUUUUAUUAUUAAAAAAAUAAAAAGUAAAAUAAAACUGUUUUUAUUAGUAAAAACAGUUUAUUCUGUUUUUAUUAUUAAACCACUCUAAUCCAAUACCUCUUAAUGGGUGGGUUAGCUGCUGUUGAGAGGGGCAAAUAAAAGGACGUAUCCAAAAGGGUCUACCACGCAGUAAAGUGUGAUACAGGUGUCUGAUGUGAGCGCAAACUUGUUUCAGCAGGACAGAUGCAGAAGACUUUGAAAAGUGGUAUCUUCAGCCUAAAUGUCUGUCGAUAGAUGAAUAGAUAAAGAAGAUAUAGUCCAUAUAUACAAUGGACUAUUGCUCAUUCUCAUUUUCUACUACAAGAUUUUCAAACAAUGCUCUCUGUUUAUUAAUGUUUUAAGUCGCCUCGUGUUGAUGCUAAUAGAUGUUUGAGUGCAAGUGGUGAUCCCACCAGCCUUCCCUCAGGACAGCUUAGCGAGCCAGGGCUAAGCCGCUUCAGCCUGUCUGACUCUCCGUGACCCCAGGGACUGCGACGCACAGGCUCCUCUGUCCCUGGCGUUCUCCAGCUAAGAAUACCGGAAUGGGUUGCCAUGCCCUCCUCCAGGGGAUCUGCCCGCCCCAGGGAUGGAACAGAUGAGGUACCUUCUUUGAUUACUUCUUCUGGUGUCUAUCACAAGAUCACUGAGAGGCGAGAUCUUGUGGAACUUCACUGGAGGACUGCAGCUUUGCCUCAAAGGAGCAACGUGCCUGAGGCUUGAAAA
Dama dama (fallow deer) is the source of this 2214-nucleotide long non-coding RNA. RefSeq lists it as uncharacterized. The transcript has 3 exons. NCBI's taxonomy places the organism in Eukaryota, Metazoa, Chordata, Mammalia, Artiodactyla, Cervidae. The record is from RefSeq and is a predicted model, not a curated record.